This 440-nucleotide ribosomal RNA is filed under the name uncultured bacterium. RNAcentral's name for it is "partial 16S ribosomal RNA". It matches the Rfam family "Bacterial small subunit ribosomal RNA", at positions 338 to 795 of the family's 1533-position model. The record is from RNAcentral.
ACUACGGGUGGCUGCAGUGGGGAAUAUUGCACAAUGGGGGAAACCCUGAUGCAGCGACGCCGCGUGAAGGAAGAAGUAUUUCGGUAUGUAAACUUCUAUCAGCAGGGAAGAAAAUGACGGUACCUGACUAAGAAGCCGCGGCUAACUAAGGGACAGCAGCCGCGGUCAUACGUAGGGGGCAAGCGUUAUCCGGAUGUACUGGGUGUAAAGGGAGCGUAGGCGGUGCAGCAAGUCAGAAGUGAAAGCCCGGGGCUCAACUCUGGGAAUGCUUUUGAAACUGUUGAACUAGAUUGCAGGAGAGGUAAGUGGAAUUCCUAGUGUAGCGGUGAAAUGCGUAGAUAUUAGGAGGAACACCAGUGGCGAAGGCGGCUUACUGGACUGUAAAUGACGCUGAGGCUCGAAAGCGUGGGGAGCAAACAGGAUUAGAUACCCGGGUAGUC